RNAcentral lists this ribosomal RNA (253 nucleotides) under uncultured bacterium. RNAcentral describes it as "partial 16S ribosomal RNA". It matches the Rfam family "Bacterial small subunit ribosomal RNA", at positions 526 to 779 of the family's 1533-position model. The record is from RNAcentral.
CGGAGGAUCCAAGCGUUAUCCGGAAUCAUUGGGUUUAAAGGGUCCGUAGGCGGUUUUAUAAGUCAGUGGUGAAAUCCGGCAGCUCAACUGUCGAACUGCCAUUGAUACUGUAGGACUUGAAUUAUUGUGAAGUAACUAGAAUAUGUAGUGUAGCGGUGAAAUGCUUAGAUAUUACAUGGAAUACCCAUUGCGAAGGCAGGUUACUAACAAUACAUUGACGCUGAUGGACGAAAGCGUGGGAGCGAACAGGAUU